CCUACGGGGGGCAGCAGUAGGGAAUCUUCCACAAUGGGCGAAAGCCUGAUGGAGCAACGCCGCGUGGGUGAAGAAGGUCUUCGGAUCGUAAAACCCUGUUGUUAGAGAAGAAAGUGCGUGAGAGUAACUGUUCACGUUUCGACGGUAUCUAACCAGAAAGCCACGGCUAACUACGUGCCAGCAGCCGCGGUAAUACGUAGGUGGCAAGCGUUAUCCGGAUUUAUUGGGCGUAAAGGGAACGCAGGCGGUCUUUUAGGUCUGAUGUGAAAGCCUUCGGCUUAACCGGAGUAGUGCAUUGGAAACUGGGAGACUGGAGGGCAGAAGAGGAGAGUGGAACUCCAUGUGUAGCGGUGAAAUGCGUAGAUAUAUGGAAGAACACCAGUGGCGAAAGCGGCUCUCUGGUCUGUAACUGACGCUGAGGUUCGAAAGCGUGGGUAGCAAACAGGAUUAGAUACCCCUGUAGUC
RNAcentral lists this ribosomal RNA (465 nucleotides) under uncultured bacterium. Its description in RNAcentral is "partial 16S ribosomal RNA". It matches the Rfam family "Bacterial small subunit ribosomal RNA", at positions 338 to 795 of the family's 1533-position model. The record is from RNAcentral.